AUUUUGGUUGCAUCAAACUGUGAGCAAAGACUCUUCUUCAUCCCUGGGGUGAUAAACACAUGUUGCCCCAGUAUUUGAAUCCUUGAAAGGCAUGCCCCAGAUUAAAUCGUUGACCAAGACUGCCCCCAAUACUUAAUGUUGAAAAGUGUGUCCCUCAUUGAUUGGCGCUUUGAAGGUUCAACCCAUUUUUAGAAAUAUUUUGACCUCAAUCAACAAGAUCUCCGGAUGAUCUGCCCCUUGAUUAUAAGGUAGUAUUCUUGAUUAGCAGGACCCGUAGGUGAUUUGCCCCUUGUCAGGAGUUCCUUGAAAUGAUUCACCUUUUGAUCAGACCCUUGUUGAAAUUUCCUCGAUGCCAAGUAUAGAUUUGCGAAUGAAAUUGUUUCUUUUGAAAAGUUGUUUUGAAGUAAUGCACAUGCAAGUUUUGAAAUCGAAAUUUGGAUAAUAUUUGGCUAGAAGAUCGGCGCAAUUUGAAAGAGUAAAGAAGUGACAAAAAAUGUUAGCGAUGAUUCACAAACAUGAGGAGUCAGUUUAAUAACAAUUUUGCUAAUUACGCUUUCAUAGUGAACCUAACUUCAAUUAGGUCUUUUGAAGGUUGUAACGUGGCCUGGUUCACGAUUUUUGAAAAAAGGAUUAUAAGGCUCAAAAAUUUGAUUUUAACCCACCCAUUCUCCUUUGAUGUCCUCCAUUCCUAAAUUCAAUUAACUCAAUGGAUGCAUUCAGUUGGCAAGAGAAUUUUGGUAGCUAUGAUGACCGAGGUAGAUACAAUGGUCGAAGCAUGGAUGAAGUUUUUGAGGUGACAAUCACUUUUUUUCCCACAAGCUUGUUCCAUUUUUUUUUAAUCCCUUACUUUUGCAUGGACCAUUUCUUUUGAAUAUGUGGUCCAUCGGGAUGCCCUGAUUUUUUGCCUAAGUCUCUUUUCAAUUUUCUUUUUUACUUAGCGGGCUCUUUUUUAUUUUUUGGAACAGCUCUGGUGAGAUUUGCUUUAGAUUCAGGAAGCUUAUGACUGUCAUAUCAACC
Molecule: long non-coding RNA, 1017 nt
Filed under: Trifolium pratense (red clover)
Lineage: Eukaryota; Viridiplantae; Streptophyta; Magnoliopsida; Fabales; Fabaceae
Description: long non-coding RNA (TPRA_LNC013623)
Source: RNAcentral